RNAcentral lists this ribosomal RNA (465 nucleotides) under uncultured bacterium. RNAcentral's name for it is "partial 16S ribosomal RNA". It matches the Rfam family "Bacterial small subunit ribosomal RNA", at positions 28 to 507 of the family's 1533-position model. The record is from RNAcentral.
GACGAACGCUGGCGGCACGCUUAACACGUGCAAGUCGAACGAGAGAAGAGAAGCUUGCUUUUCUGAUCUAGUGGCGGACGGGUGAGUAACACGUGAGCAAUCUGCCUUUCAGAGGGGGAUACCGAUUGGAAACGAUCGUUAAUACCGCAUAACAUAAUUGAACCGCAUGAUUUGAUUAUCAAAGAUUUAUCGCUGAAAGAUGAGCUCGCGUCUGAUUAGCUAGUUGGUAAGGUAACGGCUUACCAAGGCGACGAUCAGUAGCCGGACUGAGAGGUUGAUCGGCCACAUUGGGACUGAGACACGGCCCAGACUCCUACGGGAGGCAGCAGUGGGGAAUAUUGCACAAUGGAGGAAACUCUGAUGCAGCGAUGCCGCGUGAGGGAAGAAGGUUUUAGGAUUGUAAACCUCUGUCUUCAGGGACGAAAAAAGACGGUACCUGAGGAGGAAGCUCCGGCUAACUACGUG